RNAcentral lists this ribosomal RNA (458 nucleotides) under uncultured bacterium. RNAcentral's name for it is "partial 16S ribosomal RNA". It matches the Rfam family "Bacterial small subunit ribosomal RNA", at positions 338 to 795 of the family's 1533-position model. The record is from RNAcentral.
CCUACGGGUGGCAGCAGUGGGGAAUAUUGCACAAUGGGGGAAACCCUGAUGCAGCGACGCCGCGUGAGUGAAGAAGUAAUUCGUUACGUAAAGCUCUAUCAGCAGGGAAGAAAUACUGACCUUACGAUCAGCAGACGGUACCUGAGUAAGAAGCCCCGGCUAACUACGUGCCAGCAGCCGCGGGAAUACGGAGGGGGCAAGCGUUAUCCGGAUUUACUGUGUGUAAAGGGAGCGUAGACGGUGAGCCAAGGCUGGAGUGAAAUGCCGGAGCUUAACUGCGGAACUGCUUUGGAAACUGGCGAACUAGAGUGCGGGAGGGGUAAGCGGAAUUCCUGGUGUAGCGGUGAAAUGCGUAGAUAUUAGGAGGAACACCGGUGGCGAAGGCGGCUUACUGGACCGUAACUGACGUUGAGGCUCGAAAGUGUGGGGAGCAAACAGGAUUAGAUACCCGGGUAGUC